This 393-nucleotide long non-coding RNA is filed under the name Homo sapiens (human). RNAcentral's name for it is "HSALNT0149123". Lineage: Eukaryota; Metazoa; Chordata; Mammalia; Primates; Hominidae. The record is from RNAcentral.
UAUCAUUAAUCCCUAAUGCCUGGAACUGCAUAAAUUUCUUCUACAAAGGAAGCCCACAGGUCGUUUUUAUUUGGAGCACUUUUUUUAAUAGGCGCCACAAUAUAUUCUGGAAUAUCAGACAUUAAUGAACCAGUAAAGAAGAUACUGAGGAGCAGAAGAGUUUUCCCAGUGUCCCGGGAGCCAUUCUACACAGCAUCCUACAGAAUGACUGUGGAUCUGCUGUGCUUAGUUUCUUUACUUGUGAAAACAGAGUAAUAGUAGCACCUACCUCACAGGGUUGUUCUGAAGAUUAGAGGGGUUCUUUCAUGGGAAGCUCUAGAGCAGUGCUUGAGACAUGGUAAGUGUUCAACAUGUGUUCAUUAUUAUUAUCAUUAUCAAUAUUUGAUGUAAAAG